This 327-nucleotide ribosomal RNA is filed under the name uncultured eukaryote. Its description in RNAcentral is "partial 18S ribosomal RNA". It matches the Rfam family "Eukaryotic small subunit ribosomal RNA", at positions 1470 to 1796 of the family's 1831-position model. The record is from RNAcentral.
CCCUUAGAUGUUCUGGGCCGCACGCGCGCUACACUGAUUCAUGCAACAAGUUUUGUCCUUGGCUGAUAGGCCUGGGUAAUCUUUGAACGUGAAUCGUGAUGGGGAUAGAUGAUUGCAAUUAUUCAUCUUCAACGAGGAAUUCCUAGUAAACGCAAGUCAUCAGCUUGCAUUGAUUACGUCCCUGCCCUUUGUACACACCGCCCGUCGCACCUACCGAUUGAAUGGUCCGGUGAAAUCUUCGGAUCUGAGAGAUGUCUGAUUAAUUUCGGACGCCUUUUGGAAAAGUUGCUUAAACCUUACCAUUUAGAGGAAGGUGAAGUCGCAACA